This 1134-nucleotide long non-coding RNA is filed under the name Homo sapiens (human). RNAcentral describes it as "LINGO1 antisense RNA 1". The record is from RNAcentral. Lineage: Eukaryota; Metazoa; Chordata; Mammalia; Primates; Hominidae.
CCCAGGAUGGACAUGGCACCCACAUUGGCACCCUCUGGUCUUGUCCCCACAGGACACCCCUCUGUCAUGGUGAUCAAGACGGCUAGGGGGCAGGGAAGGCGAGAAGAGGGAGGAGACACUGGUGUGACUCAUAGCAAAGUAAGAGCUUCUUCCCUCCUCUCUGCACCCCAAAUACGGCUGCAUUAGAACUAAGCAAGCUAUUGAUACCACACUGACCUAAAAAUAACAAAUGGCGAAGUCAGUGGCCUAGGAGGCUGGAGAAUCUUAACACCAGGUGGCCCAGGGCAUACCCAGAGCUUCUGGCAACCGAAAUCUGGAAAAAGUGGUAACAGUUCCAUCUGGUCAAAUGACAAAAGCCUAAAUUUGUAUCAAGUAGUGGCUGAUAACAGUCAAUUUCUACCUAGAAGGCACUACGUUGGAUCUAGGUGUUCAGGGUUCUUUAAGUCAUGCUCUGAAUGAAUAAGCAAUGAUUCCAAAGUAUGUGAAGCUAGCCUCACAGAUUGAAGUCCUUGAAAUCACACUUUCCAAACAGCUUCAAAUGAAGAACAAGCUCAUACAAACUCAAGAGUGCUUGAUCGAUGAGCAACUCCAGCAAGUGAAGACAUCACAGUCUGGGGCAGUGCAUGGCUGACCCCUUUACCUGUUGAACUAGCUGCUUUGGCCCUUGUUUCAAGGGAAAAGGGCUCUAGAGGAAUUGGGGGUUUGGUCCUCUUAAGGUCUGAGGUCUUUGGGUCUCUGGGUUUGGUCAGGCCCUUAGGGACUGUGGGCUUAGGCUGAGCAAGGGUAGCCUUGGGACAUGUCUCAAACUCUGGUGAAGUCAAGAAAGGCCACAGAGUGGAAAAUCCAGAAUCUACAUCCCAUUCGUGCCAGAGCCCUGUUCCAUCCACUCUCUGAGCAGAUGUCUCCCUACGAAGGCCCAAGGGACUCCUGAAAAGCAGGCACGAAUAGACCGCAGAGUUAAACAGUGCAAGGGCAUGCUGUGGACCCACCCACUUUGGGUAAAUCUUUUGACUUCUCUGUGAAUCAGAAAAUCAAUGGGAUAGACUAUGCCUCACAGGGCCACCCUAGGGAUCGAAUAAGAUGAUGGAUACCAAAGUGCUUCAUUAACAAUAAAGUGCCAAAAAGAGUUACUAC